GACGAACCGUGCGAACGUUGUUCGGAAUCACUGGGCUUAAAGGGCGCGUAGGCGGUCCAUCCAGUCGGGGGUGAAAUCUUGCAGCUUAACUGCAAAAGUGCCUUCGAUACUGAUGGACUCGAGGGAGGUAGGGGCAGGUGGAACUUCCAGUGGAGCGGUGAAAUGUGUUGAUAUUGGAAGGAACGCCGGUGGCGAAAGCGACCUGCUGGAUCUCUUCUGACGCUGAGGCGCGAAAGCUAGGGGAGCAAACGGGAUUAGAUACCCCGGUAGUCCUAGCCCUAAACGAUGAGUACUGAGUAGUGGACUUACAUGGGUUCACUGCUGAAGCAAAAGUGGUAAGUACUCCGCCUGGGGAGUAUGGUCGCAAGGCUGAA
RNAcentral lists this ribosomal RNA (374 nucleotides) under uncultured bacterium. RNAcentral's name for it is "bacterial SSU rRNA". It matches the Rfam family "Bacterial small subunit ribosomal RNA", at positions 524 to 898 of the family's 1533-position model. The record is from RNAcentral.